AACGCAUCUUGCACUCCUUGGUAUUCCGAGGAGUAUACUUGUUUGAGUGUCAUGGUAUCUUCAACCUAGCUAUGAUUUUUGUAGUGGGGUUUGGACUUGGAGGUUGUUUUUGUCGGUGGUACAGGUUGAGGGUGUCAAUCUAUACUAUUGGCUCCUCUGAAAUACAUUUGCUUGGAUCGAUUACCAAGUGUGGUUCAGUGUGAUAAUGUCUGCACUGUUUCAUCUUGACAAGUUCUAAGUGUCUAAGCCUUGACUUCUGCUCUUUUGUAGACAGAAUCUGUGAAACAUCUGACCUCAAAUCAAGUAGGACUACCCGCUGAACUUAA
This 326-nucleotide unclassified non-coding RNA is filed under the name uncultured fungus. RNAcentral describes it as "sequence contains ITS2". Lineage: Eukaryota; Fungi. The record is from RNAcentral.